AAAGGGUAAGCUGAAAACCUAAAAAAGAGUAAGCA
Molecule: non-coding RNA, 35 nt
Filed under: unclassified sequences
Description: DUF805b RNA
Rfam family: DUF805b RNA
About the family: Bacteroidetes, Chlorobi (1 example), Proteobacteria. Lineage (Flavobacteria)
Source: RNAcentral